Molecule: long non-coding RNA, 1809 nt
Filed under: Canis lupus dingo (dingo)
Lineage: Eukaryota; Metazoa; Chordata; Mammalia; Carnivora; Canidae
Description: lncRNA (ENSCAFG00020014535.1)
Source: RNAcentral
UGCGUAGUAAGGGUGACUGGCCCGGAAGCGCAAAGGCGGCAGCCGGUCGAGCUGCGGCGUGCGCGGGCCGCCUCCUCAGUGGGCGGAUUUGUGUUGCUACGGGCGUGUGGUGUCCUCUCUCCGGGUCGGGAGCCGAGUCUAGAGGGGGACAACAUGCCAACUGCCAAGCAACUAGCUGACAUUGGCUACAAGACCUUCUCUACCUCCAUGAUGCUUCUCACUGUGUAUGGGGGCUACCUCUGCAGUGCCCGAGCCUACCGCUAUUUCCAGCGGCGCAGCUCUCAGCGCCAGGCUGCAGAAGAACAGAAGACCUCAGGAGUCCCAUAGAACUGGGGGUUUUUCUCCUGGAGCAGAGAGGCCUGAGGCGUGCUGUGGAAUGAUCUCACCUGCAAUCAUUUCCAAGUCAAGAGAACUAGGGCCUUAAUGGUUUUCGAAUCCUGCUGAGGAAAAAGUGCCCCCUAUUUUCUCUGGUACUGCCGUUUUGGGGAGGCUGUUGAGUCACAACAGGAAUGGGAGGAUGAGGCACACCUACAGAGAUUAAAUAUUUUGCCAUGUCUGUGUCUUGGUAUUUUUGUUUACUUAAAUAGGGGAUGAACUGCAGAGAUGGGGCCUUGACUACCAGUUUUCUACUGCUUGACUACCAGACUGGAUUUCUAUAUUUUGAACUCUUAGCUCCCAUGAAGGGGAGAUACGCAGUUUUAGGAGUAGCGGUGUCAUCUCAUGAUCUCAGAUGGAAGACUGUCCCAGCAUCUGUACAAAUCCCCUGAAAAGACUCCGUAAAGACCAGAACUCUUCAUUGGUCAGUGACCAUUCCUAGACCAAUUACUGUGUCCAGGUAAAGGGUUACUCUGGCCAGUUCUUGGCCACGCAUGCACCUCUCAGAUAAGGAAGGCAGAGGCCCUUGUUUAACAACCCCACCAAAAACGCCCGAAGUGGGGGAGGCAGAGAUCCCAGAGGGAAGAGUUGUUGGGCAGCCAGCCUAUAGUAAUGCAAUCCAACUCCUCAAGCGCAGUGGGCAUAGUAUUAGCACAGGGCUGAUUUCCCACUGUGCCAGUGCACAGGAAAUCUUCCUGCGGGUCUUUCUGCAAAGUUGUGAAGAGGAUUUGAAAACAGUGCAUUCAAGGCCUAGGGCUUGUGGCUAACCUCUGCUGGUGAGGCCUGUUCUGCGGACGACUUUACUGAACAAGAAAUAACAACUGUAUACAGAUGGCUGAGGUGAGGGGGUCUAGACUGGAACCUUACUACCUGUCGGUUUAUGCCGACCCAUAGGCCCUUUCUUUUUUUUUUUUUUUUUUUUUUUUUAAUUUAUUUAUGAUAGAGAGAGAGAGAGAGAGGCAGAGACAUAGGCAGAGGGAGAAGCAGGCUCCAUGCACCGGGAGCCCGACGUGGGAUUCGAUCCUGGGACUCCAGGAUCGCGCCCUAGGCCAAAGGCAGGCGCCAAACCGCUGCGCCACCCAGGGAUCCCCAGGCCCUUUCUUUAUAAAGCCAUUUCUUGUAGCUCUAAUGUCCAGUCUCAGAUAGUAGGAUACCCUCCCCUGAGUACUUUUCACAACUCAUUUGUUGCUUUAAACCUUCGAGGGCUCCCAUAACCUACCAUCUAAAAUGUAACUCUUCGACAUGAUAGUUUCAGGCUCUUCACUCUAUGGCCCCAAGUCAUCUUAUUCUCAUCUCCUGCCACUUUGAUCCAGCUCCAGCAGGUUACAGUUUCCUGAAAAUGGCACAUACUUUUUUAUAUUAGAAAAAUAUUUGAAAUGAAUUAUUCCAAAUGUAUUGAAAGCACCAAAAAUAAAAUAUUAUACCACUUAGCCA